GUGUCAGCCGCCGCGGUAAUACGGAGGAUGCAAGCGUUAUCCGGAAUGAUUGGGCGUAAAGCGUCCGCAGGUGGCAUUGUAAGUCUGCUGUUAAAGAGUGAGGCUUAACCUCAUAAAAGCAGUGGAAACUACAAAGCUAGAGUGCGUUCGGGGCAGAAGGAAUUCCUGGUGUAGCGGUGAAAUGCGUAGAGAUCAGGAAGAACACCGGUGGCGAAGGCGUUCUGCUAGGCCGCAACUGACACUGAGGGACGAAAGCUAGGGGAGCGAAUGGGAUUAGAAACCCUGGUAGUCC
RNAcentral lists this ribosomal RNA (292 nucleotides) under uncultured bacterium. RNAcentral describes it as "partial 16S ribosomal RNA". It matches the Rfam family "Bacterial small subunit ribosomal RNA", at positions 505 to 796 of the family's 1533-position model. The record is from RNAcentral.